AUCAGAGUGGCACAACGGAAGCGUAGUGGGCCCAUAACCCACAGGUCGGAGGAUCGAAACCUCCCUCUGAUA
Molecule: transfer RNA, 72 nt
Filed under: Selaginella moellendorffii
Lineage: Eukaryota; Viridiplantae; Streptophyta; Lycopodiopsida; Selaginellales; Selaginellaceae
Rfam family: tRNA
About the family: Transfer RNA (tRNA) molecules are approximately 80 nucleotides in length. Their secondary structure includes four short double-helical elements and three loops (D, anti-codon, and T loops).
Source: Rfam by way of RNAcentral